Long non-coding RNA from Ornithorhynchus anatinus (platypus), 500 nucleotides. RefSeq lists it as uncharacterized. The transcript has 4 exons. Lineage: Eukaryota; Metazoa; Chordata; Mammalia; Monotremata; Ornithorhynchidae. The record is from RefSeq and is a predicted model, not a curated record.
AUCGGGAGGAAACACUUCUGGAAGCCUGGGGUUGGCUCUGUUUCUCCAUGGCAUAAAGGACCUGCCCAUCCCUUCUUCCCUCCAGAACUGCCGAUCUUGAACUGGGACAAGUCCAUUUCCUGAGCGCUGGGCCCAGAGGAAAGACUAAAUAAAUAUCAACUACACUGUAUGUGACCAGCAUUCUGAAGCUUGUUUAGUGGGUCAGCUUGCUGCACUGGAAGUUGUUCUCUAAGGGCCCAGCUCUUACCUACCUCCGAGACCCAAGGACCGGGGCUGCAACGUAUCGAGGUUUGGGGAUUCCUGAGGUCCUAAAACCGGGUCUGAAUCACUGCUGCGGCCCCCUAGGGCUGGGGACCGCAAAAGCUCUUCACAUGGCUACCGAUUCACCUCGACAUGGGACAAAACUGAUGGUUGGCACGUUUUCCAGUUACCUAAACACGGAAGUCAUCUGAGGUGCCGGCUCUCCUCCUGACCUCACGUGGCUAGUUUCUACUACGGAG